This 443-nucleotide ribosomal RNA is filed under the name uncultured bacterium. RNAcentral's name for it is "partial 16S ribosomal RNA". It matches the Rfam family "Bacterial small subunit ribosomal RNA", at positions 338 to 795 of the family's 1533-position model. The record is from RNAcentral.
CCUACGGGAGGCAGCAGUGGGGAAUAUUGGACAAUGGGGGGAACCCUGAUCCAGCGACGCCGCGUGCGUGAAGAAGUAUUUCGGUAUGUAAAGCUCUAUCAGCAGGGAAGAAAGAAAUGACGGUACCUGACUAAGAAGCCCCGGCUAACUACGUGCCAGCAGCCGCGGUAAUACGUAGGGGGCAAGCGUUAUCCGGAUUUACUGGGUGUAAAGGGAGCGUAGACGGCGAUGCAAGUCUGAAGUGAAAGGCGGGGGGCCAACCCCCGGACUGCAUUGGAAACUGUAUGGCUGGAGUGCAGGAGAGGUAAGUGGAAUUCCUAGUGUAGCGGUGAAAUGCGUAGAUAUUAGGAGGAACACCAGUGGCGAAGGCGGCUUACUGGACUGUAACUGACGUUGAGGCUCGAAAGCGUGGGGAGCAAACAGGAUUAGAUACCCCUGUAGUC